Molecule: ribosomal RNA, 207 nt
Filed under: uncultured bacterium
Lineage: Bacteria
Description: partial 16S ribosomal RNA
Rfam family: Bacterial small subunit ribosomal RNA
Source: RNAcentral
CGCGUAGGCGGCCUUGCGUGUCUUUCGUGAAAUCCCUCGGCUUAACUGAGGACGUGCGGAAGAAACUGCAGGGCUUGAGUCCGGGAGAGGGGGGUGGAAUUCCCAGUGUAGCGGUGAAAUGCGUAGAUAUUGGGAGGAACACCGGUGGCGAAGGCGGCCCCCUGGACCGGUACUGACGCUGAGGCGCGAAAGCGUGGGGAGCAAACG